Molecule: unclassified non-coding RNA, 1353 nt
Filed under: uncultured Neocallimastigales
Lineage: Eukaryota; Fungi; Neocallimastigomycota; Neocallimastigomycetes; Neocallimastigales
Description: partial contains internal transcribed spacer 1, 5.8S ribosomal RNA, internal transcribed spacer 2, and large subunit ribosomal RNA
Rfam family: Eukaryotic large subunit ribosomal RNA (bases 584-1353)
Source: RNAcentral
AAAAUAAUCCUACCUUUGUGAAUUUUGUUUGUUUGAAUAAUUUUUUUUUUAAAAAAUUAUUGGAGUCUUUCCCUUUAGAGUUUGCUUUUGAGUUUGUAAAAGAAUUCGAAAACAUCUAAAGGGGAUGGUCAAUAAUUUUUUUGAAAAAAGACAUUUUUUAAAAUUAAACUUUUUGUAUUCAUUUGUCUAAAAAUUAUUUUUAUAAUAUAAAACAACUUUUGACAAUGGAUCUCUUGGUUCUCGCAACGAUGAAGAACGCAGCAAAAUGCGAUAAGUAGUGUGAAUUGCAGAAUACGUGAAUCAUCGAAUCUUUGAACGCAUAUUGCACUUUUUAGUUUACUAAAAAAGUAUGUCUGUUUGAGUAUCAGUAAAUAUUCUCAUAAAAUCAUUGUAUUUUUAUGGUUAUGAGUGUUUACAACGAUACAAGUUGUUUCACUUUAAAUUUUUUUUAAUAUUGAAAUUUUUCUAAUUUUAAUAAUUAAAAUUGGAUAAAAUUUUCCCGUCAAAAGGAAUAACCUAAACAAUUUAAAUGAUUAAUUUUAGCAAAAUUUUCGUAAAAAAGGAAAUUUUUAUUAAAAUAACUUGAUCUCAAAUCAGAUAAGAGUACCCGCUGAACUUAAGCAUAUCAAUAAGCGGAGGAAAAGAAACUAACAAGGAUUCCCUUAGUAACGGCGAGUGAAGCGGGAAGAGCUCAAAUUUGAAAUCUUCAAGGUUUACCUUGACGAAUUGUAGUUUAAAGAAGUGUUUUCUGCUGAAGUUUUGGUAAAAGUUCUUUGGAAUAGGACAUCAUAGAGGGUGAGAAUCCGUAUUUGACCAUUAUUUUCAGCUUUGUGAUACACUUUCAAAGAGUCGGAUGUUUGGGAAUGCAGUCCAAAAUGGGUGGUAAAUUUCAUCUAAAGCUAAAUAUUGGCGAGAGACCGAUAGCGAACAAGUACCGUGAGGGAAAGAUGAAAAGAACUUUGAAAAGAGAGUUAAACAGUACGUGAAAUUGUCAAAAGGGAAGCGUUUGACACCAGUGUUGUUUUCUCGAAAAUCAAUUAAAAAUGGCUCGAUUUUGUAUUGCUGAGACCUUAAAAGCUCACUGUACAUUUUUCGUGUCUUUUUUAAUGCACUUUUCGUUUAACAAGUCAACAUCAGUUUCUUUUGUUGUAAAAGGGUCAUUGGAAGGUGGCUUUCUUUUCGGAGAAAGUGUUUAUAGCCUUUGGCCUCUGCAAUCGAGAGACUGAGGUCUGCAGCGUAGACUCUUCGGGUUAGAUACAUUUGUGCUAAGUUAUAGCUUUUUAUAGACAACUUGUUGACUAUAAUUAGUCUUGUAGCUUACUCGCUUAUGCUAUUUUACCUACGCUUAGGAUG